AGCGUUGUACGGAGGCGUCGGUAAAAACGAGAGACGCCACUCGAGGGGGUGGGAAAUCGAAUGUAUUCGCGCGUUCUGAAACGUCACGGACCGAACAUCACGCUCGGAUGUCUCCGCGAUAUCGCUCGAUAGCUUUCGGGGCAUCUCGGCUGCGUUCGCUGUCGGUAGUGUCAGAGGGGGGAUUUAGUCCGUGAUUCGAUUCAGUGCUCGUAGGUCCGCGCAACAGUUCAGAUCGCAUCGUGUAACAGGGGGAAGUCGUACCCUCUAAUUGGAGAAGUUAGUGGUGAGCUAAACCAGAUAAACCGAUACAAGUGCGCCGCGAGAUAAACCGGCUUGGCCUUCGUAAUUGGCCGAAUCGAAAAGUGAAGAACCUUCUCGUACACCGUAGACGGAUCAUCCGAGUUCCUCGAACGAUCGCCGAUUUCGAACAGAUAGAAACAUCGUUCCUAUCGCACGAAGAUCCAGAAAACAGCUGACCCGAGAGCGAAGGUUACCAGCCAUGGAAUAUAAUUAGUACGCCGCUUACGGAACGGCAGGCCAGCUAUGGGUCCACUGAAAACAAGCUGCAACGAGACACAGGCACACUCGGCAGUAGUACUUGGAAAUCGGCCUUUGUGCGAACACGUGCGAGCCCAUGGACGACCGUGUUUCCUUCUCGAACGGGCCUCCUUCUUUCCUCCUGCACGACCACGAAAGGAACGCGUGGAAAUGCCCGGCGGACGAGCGGAAAAACUUUCAAGGGGAGCCAGCUUUUUCCGCGAACGUUUGACGCGCGAAGGCCUUCCUGUUGCUUCCUUUAUUGGACCAUCGCAUCGGGACGGUUUCAUUUAAUCGCUGCCAAGCCAUGACGCAGGAUUUUCAACGUACCGUGUAACGUACUCGAAGUACGUAACGAUUGUGCGCGCGUAUAAUUAACCGUGCAUUAAAAGCAUUUGCAUCAGAGGCGGAUAUAUCGGUCGAUUUCGUUGGAUCGUUGUCCGUGAAGGCGAACGUCGACGCGUUAAAGUAUCAAUUUCCACUGGACAUCGUUCGAAGGAAAGGAUUCGGCGGAAAAUUCGAGUGCUCUGUCGAUGCAAAUGGAUUAAGAUCGUCGAAAGAUUUAAGAAACAACGAAAGAUCGUCCAAUUAACUUUUCGCUUUUAAUUGAAUCUUAUAUUCCCUUUCUCGCUCGGUUCGCCCAGUUUCGUCGGGGUUCUCUCCAGUUAAUCGUAAAAGUCAAAAGUUUGCUCGAGUAGCUUCGACAAAGGUAAUUGAAAUCUCGAGUACGCGAGACGAUUAAUUGCGGCAGAGACGACGAGCGGAACAUUUCGGCGCUCGGUCGGUUUCUUCGACAGCUUGCAAAUUGCCGCGUCGAGUGGCACCGCGAAUAUCGUGUAAACGGGGACUGUUGGCGAAUGCUCGUCGAGACACGGGGUAUUCUUUCAAAUUUUUCAGACAAUUCGUUCCCCGCUGGAUGAGAAGGUCUGCGGUGGAGAAGAAGGAAGAAGGAGAAACGGACGAAGGAGAAGAAGAAGUUGAAGAAGAAGAAGAAGAAGCAAUUCCUUCGGACGUCGAGACGAAGAGACGACGCGGGAGCGUGCGGAGCAGCGAAAUCGAAAAGCGGCAGCGGCAUCGGCAUCGUGGCCCAGGGUGUCGUCUCCUAGAGCAUCUUUAGGCACAGCAGACGCACGAAGCGCGCGCAAAAGAGACGAACGAGAGAGGACGAGGGCGUCCAGUGGUCGCUACGAGCGAGAGAGAAAGAGGGGAAGAAACGGCGCGGCGUGGAGCGACCACCGGGAAAGAGAGGGAAAUUCAAAGAUGGCGCCACGCGUGUAAUCGCGAGAGAGAGGGGUGCGAACGUGCGACGAAGACGAGGAUUCUUCCCCUCUCGCUUCGAGCGCGAGCGGCCGAACCGAAACGUCCGAAUCCGAUCGUCGAAUGGCUCAGUAGUGCGCGAGACACAUUUCGCGUAGCGUGUUUCGCCGAAAAGUCGGUGUUUGCCGAUGAUUCACGAACGUUGCGACGAAACCGUCAGAGGAUACGCGGCGGACCAAUCCCUGGUUCCGUUACAUCAGCAUCCGACUCCGUGGGUUCUCGACGAUUGGUUCUCGUCGCGAUGCGUUCGUUCAUGUUUCGUCCGUCGUCGUCGUCGUCUCGAGUGCUGCUGGCUGGCUCGUGUAUCCUUCUGACUUUCCUUCGACCGGUACGACGCGCGAUCUAGUGUGCGUAAUCGUGUGCUUCCUAGGCGAAAGGUUUUCGAGAGAAUGUACCGGGACGCGACGUGCCCCGCGAAGCGACCGAUCAACAUCCCGCGAGAGAAAGAAAGACGGGGAGAAGGAGAGAAGACACGUAGGGUAUUUUGGACGCAGAUCGAUCAGUCGCAGCCGCUCUCCGGUUCGCGCCAUGUGACCGGUCAAAGACCAGUCUGUCCGGGAUUGGAGGUUAGAAAGAAAGAUUUGUAGAGGGACAGUGUCAGUAGCGCGCGAGCAGCGAUCGUAGAGUGGUCUGGUCGGGUGUCGCGAGGAGUGCGUUCUUCGACGUGUAGCGCGUAUGGCGGGUUUGAAGCUCGGUCAAGAGGGGAAAGAGAGACUCGAGUGCCGCGAAUGUCGUUCUCUGGGGUCAGAUGUAAAAAUAAAAGGAAGCAGACGUGUCUCAAGGCUAUCGGACCGCAUAUUGUCUCGGGCAGUAGCGUAAAAUCACGCGGUCGUCUCCCUGCUUAUCGUUUCUUCCCGUGUUGUCUAAUGUCUGUGCGCGCGCGCCCUUCUGUUUCUCCUCCGUAAACGCGAUGCGCUCUACCGACAAUAACGUAACGCUGAUUUAAGGAAAAAGAUGAGAAAUUACGCGGACGUUGCUUCGUACGAUUCCUCGAUAACGUCGACGCGACCGUACGCCACGCUGGUUCGUUAUCGUGAACGCUUAAAACCGUCGUGUCUAUUUUUACGGCGUGUCGAUACAACGAACCGCUUAAUUGCUUCGUUGAUAAAUCUUGCCGGACGCGGUGGACCUGUAAUCGGUCAACUUUUUCCUUAGUUUUUUGGUACGCUUUCCUAAUUCCGCUUCACGGAGUUGCUUUUGUUUCACCGUUUGAAAGAAAAGAACGCUGCGACUGUUGCGAAUUAAACAAAAGAAAUCGUACAGGCGUAAAAUUCCAUAGAAUAAAUCCGAGUUUCUAUAUUUUCCUUCGACGCGUAAUUAGAAUUUUAUCGAACGAUCGUAAAAGGUUAACACUUACGUGCUCUACGUUUUUUAAGCGCAGCAUAGUAUUUACCGUUUUUACAAGAAAAUUACAGUCUCGUUUUCCGUAAACUUUGUAGCACGUGCGUGUCGCAGUUAACCACGUGUUUACAUUGCGGCUGAUCGUUCCGAGCCUUGUUCGAUCUUGAGUCUAUUCCUCGUUGAUGAAUCUGUAAACGGUUCAAUCUGUAUCAUUUUGUAUCUACCGUGUGUUUGCAACGAGUCGAAAACGAUUUAUUUAACGUCGUUCUCUGAUGGAAGUGGAAAGUCCCCGUCCGUAAGAAGAAUAUAAGCCGAAAAUUAAUCCAAAGAUUAUAAGGCUGCGCGUAUUAAUUAUAAAACAGUCCUGGAACGUUGGGAGAUCGAGAAGCCUUCAGCAAUUGUACAUCGUAUUCGUCUACGAUAGAUAACGUGUACUUAUCUAGGAAACCGAGAUUCGCCUACAAAAACUUGAGCUAUUUCAGAUUAAUUCGAGUCGUUUUGAAACAGUUGCGUGGAGAUUGAUACGACAUUGUUGAAACGUUUCUACGAGGCAAGAUGUACAAAGCGUGUCCAGCGUACUACGUAAUCGGAAAUACUUUCAUGUUCGCAGUUUAAAACCGUUCAAAUCAGCGAGAAAAUUGAAGCCCGACGAAGUGAAUAAAGUGGAUCACGUUCGACUACUGAUUUCUGAAUUCACUGCCGUUGCAAAGCAACAACGUCAUUGAAAUCGAUAUCAAUUAAGCCACGCUGAUCGUACACGUUGGAAACCCCAUAAAGGGUAACCCCGUUAACGCCUUGACUGUCGCGAGGGUCACCGGUGACAGGUGCCACAAAUUUAAUAUUGCAAAUUUAAUUGAACGAUAAAAAAUGGAGAAAGAAUUUGGAACAUUGCACCGUAUUCUGGCAGCCAGCGCGUUAUCGCCCCGACAGAGCAACAUUAAACGAGCUUAAUCCUUAGGAACGAAUUCGAAGUCUGCGAAUACCUUUGGUAAUACUUUAGUAACGUAAGCACGAAAUUCGUGAGGGUCCGUUUCACGAUUGUCAUCUGGAAGGAUUCCAAUACUUUUUAAGAAUUAAACGCCGCGUUCGCGCAUCUCUUGUAAGCAUCCAAGACGAAAAGCUAACGAGUCUGGACCAAGGUUAGAAGAUAGCGCGUGUUGUAUAAUAGCCACACGAGCUUGAUUCAGGGCCGUGUAAAGUCGGGAACACGCGAGGGGCGACACGGUCUAUUUUUAUCCAUAGCUUGGAUACGGAAAAUGUAAAAGCGUGAAGAUUCCAAGGAUAGCAGAAUGUCGUUGGACUGACAAUUAAACAGACCUGAAUGCUGUUUUUAAGCAAGGUCCUGAAUUAUUGUUCCGUUUGAAACAAUUAGGACCAACCAAUUGUAGUAAAUACCAUUAAUCAACGAAAUUGUAUCUAAGCUCGUGAUCCACCAAUUGUUUCGAACAAUGAUGCGUACCUAUUCUUGCGUCUUGUAUGCAGCCUCUAUUACGUUGCAAGAAUUAUUGUUAACAACAUCGUAGGGCAUUGAUCGGUUUUCUAAAGGGUACCGUAUUCCCGAGUUUACCGACGCGUCUCGUUAACAAAGCGAUUCGUUUCGUAUCUCGUAUUGUCAUUCCACGUUGAGUUUCAUUUGUAAAUGGCACGGGAAACGCAAACGAGAUCACCGGCUAUUUUCCAUAAACUACAUUGCCAGUCGGUUGGAAAUGAAAAGAAGUCUUUAACCUACGCGAUGCGUGGAUUUAUCGAAAUGGCUUAUCGAUAUAGGAAAGCCGUUGGUAUUUACAGAGUAACAGAUAAUUCGGGUUACGUUUC
This 5010-nucleotide long non-coding RNA is filed under the name Megachile rotundata (alfalfa leafcutting bee). Its description in RNAcentral is "uncharacterized LOC105662725, transcript variant X2". The record is from RNAcentral. Lineage: Eukaryota; Metazoa; Arthropoda; Insecta; Hymenoptera; Megachilidae.